Molecule: long non-coding RNA, 5173 nt
Filed under: Sus scrofa (pig)
Lineage: Eukaryota; Metazoa; Chordata; Mammalia; Artiodactyla; Suidae
Description: lncRNA (ENSSSCG00015036236.1)
Source: RNAcentral
AGAGGCGUGGGCGGUGAACCCGCGGUUCUGGGGAUCCGCGCCGGGCCGGGCCGCGGAGGUUGGGUAAAGAGAGGUGUUUGAAGUGUUUCAGGUGUGCCUGCAGGCUGCUGCUGUGGACGCGCGUGCUGGAAUCCGGGGCAAGGUCCUGAGUCUGCUACUGCUUUCCAAGGUGCGGCCGAAAUGUGUGAGUACAGGUGUGCACGCUUACUGAGAGGCAUGUGCUUACGUGCGUGUGUGUGCAGGUGUGCACGCUCAUCGAGAGGGCACAUUCACACGGUGCGGCGCAGUGAAGGGUAUAUGCAGUAUGCCGUUGUGCUGUUCUUCACACUCUGUGUGCUCGCACAGUUUUGCAAUAACGGGGAAGGUGAGGGGUUUCACAACUACCUUAAAGGAGAAAAUACAGAUUCUAGAAUUCCCCGGGACUCUCACUCCGUGGGUCUGUAGCGGGUCUUAAGGAAUCAUUUUCUCAGGGAAUACGGGUGGUCUGCAGAUUCUCGUGAGAUACAAAUGCUAUUUGUCAAGUAAGAAAGUAAAAGUCGAGGUGUCCUGACCAGCCCAUCUCCUCCUCCACAGGCAGCAUCUGUUCAAAUUGGUAUAGGUCUUUCCAGACAACCUUAUACAUAGAUACGUUACAUACACGCAAGUACUUUUUCCACUCUCCUAAUUUGGAGCCUAUGCUUACUGAGUUUCUAUAACGUCUUUUGAUGUAUAUAUUUAUAGAUUGAGCCUCAUUCUUUUUAACUUCUGGGUAAUAUUCCAUUAAAGGGUGUUUGAAAGUUGUUUUUUUGUUGUUGUUUUUUUUGUAAUUAGACCAUGUCUCAUUUGCCUUUGUUUUGUUUGUUGUGGAAGUAACUCAUACCAAUGGUUAAAAAUCCAAACAGAAGGGAGAAACAUUAAAAGUCUCUGUGUCCACCCUACCUACUCACCUAUCACCUGCGUAUUGUAGACCCAACUACAAUUUCUUUCUAGGUCUUCUGGUUCUUUUCAUUAUAGCUGUAAAUGAUGUACGUCCUGACCCGUCAACCACGAACAGUAUCUUUUCAAAGGGUAAGAAUAUAUUUUCUCUUUCAACUCCUAAGUUUAAAAAUUACAUUACUUUUAGUUCCAACGGGGGAAAAUUUUGUGACUUUAUCUGAAUCAUUAUUUAUAAAAGUACCUCUUACCUGCUGGCUCCCCGCAAUGAGCGAUGAGGAAAUUGGCGUACUUAUAUUCUCUCACUCCCCCAUGUUGUUAGAGUUUUAUCUUUAUACUAUGAAAAUCUCCUCUGCAAGGGUAAUUGCACCUUGCAAACGUUGUAGCGGAUUGAAAAGCAAUCAGCAGCAUUCACAAUAUUAGGAGACCCUCUGUAACAGCUCUGUCGGCAGAGCCCCUAUGCCCUUCAAACAGAACCUUUGCUGCAGCUGGGCCAGCCUGCAGCUGUCGGCGCCCGAGAUGAUUUGCCUGCCAUGGCGUUUUCCAACCACCAGAGGCCGCUCUGCCCGCGUUUGGGGCGGACCUGAAGAGCCCCGGAAUGUGUAUCUCCCCAGAGCACCUGCAACAAUGCGUGGGAACCCCUGGGACAGGACGUGCGUCCAAGGUCUCAGAAGGAGCGGGAUAGUUGAGACAGGCGGAGGAUGGAAAAGGCCUUCGUGAAUUGAGAGAUUGUGCAGAAGACACUAAUGUGCUGGGAAGGAGAAGUCUCUGCUUCCCCCAUUGGAAUCGUCGUCACACAUUGAAGUUAAGUUCGUUCAUUAUUUAAACAAGGAUUUGCUGAUGACAGGUUAGUGGCUUAACGUGUGGACUUUUUGUUUUUUUAAUGGCCACUCCCACUGCAUAUGGAGGGUCCCCUGGCCAGGGAUUGAAUCCAAGCCCCAGCUGCGACCUAAGCCACAGCUGCAGCAACGCCUUUACCCAACUUCGCCAGGUCGGGGAUUGAACCCAAGCCCCCACAGUGACCAGAGCUGCUGCAGUCAGAUUCUUCACCCACUGCAUCACAGCGGGAACUCCUAAAAAGUUUGGACAUUUGAGCUGCCUUACAUGAGUUCAAAUCCUCUUACUAGCUGUGUUGAUUGUAUCAAGUUCCUUAAUCUCUUUGUGCCUCAAUUUCCCAUAUUGUAAACAGGCAAAAGUGUCUGUGUGUGUGUGGAUAUGUGUAGUCAGAAAGACUGUUAGAUAAUAUUGAAUGUCUGAAACACAGUGCAAGAAUAUUAACUAUUAUCAGUAUACAAUAAUUACUGUAAUAGUAAUGUUAUACUGUCAUUAAUAUAUCAAUCUAGUAAGUAUUAUUAACUUAAUAUUAUUAAUUUUCUUUCUAUACAGCCUCACCACAUUUUCUUCAUGAUACUCUGAGCUAGUUUUUGUGUUGUUUUUUUUUUAAAAAAACUCCAUUUUACAGAUAAGACAACUAAUGCUCAGAAAAGUUAGGCGGCUUCCCCACCGUCACACAGCAGCUAAGAUGAACCAUCCAAGUCUACUUGGUUUGCACCAUAUUUUGUGGCAGUGCUCCUGCUGGUGUUUCUAUAAUGUAGCUUAAUUCAGUCAAAUAGCAUGAAAGAAAUUGAAAAAAGUGAUUGAAAGUGAGCAGGGCACGGGAGAGUUCAUUCUGCUUCCCGAAGGCACAUGCAGAGCCAGCAGGGGGCAGCACGCACCAGGACAACCAGAGUACCCUGGAGGCAUUUGUCGGGUGUCCUUUAGCUAGGGUCCCUCUGAGCCUUUUCAGGAUUAAAUUUAUUUAUUUAUUUAUUUAUUUAUUUAUUUAUUUAUUUGUCUUUUCAUAUGGAAGUUCCCAGGCUAGGGGUCUAACCAGAGCUGCAGCCGCCGACCUACACCAGAGCCACAGCAAUGCAGAAUCCAAGCCGCAUCUGCAACCUUCACCACAGCUCACGGCAACGCCAGAUCCUUAACCCACUGAGCGAGGCCAGGGAUCAAACCCGCAACCUCAUCGUUCCUAGUUGGAUUCGUUAACCACUGAGCCAGGACGGGAACUCCCAGGGUUAGAUUUAGAUCACACCAUUUGGGCAGGAAUACACAUGAGUGACAGGUCCUCAGCUCUUCAAAGUGCACGGUGUCAGUUUGUUCCAAUAUUGGAGGUGCAAAUUCCGCUCACUUGAUGCAGCGGUCUGAAUAUUUGUCUUUCCCACAAAAUUCAUAGGUUGCAAUCUUCACGUCCAGUGUGAUGGUUGUAGGAGGUGGGCCUUUGGCAGGCGAUUAGGCCGAGAGGCGGUGCCCUUGUGAUGGGAUCUUUGUAAGAGUCCUAGCUGAGCUCUCCAGCUCUUUUGACCCCCUGCCGGGACACAGGGAGAAGUCUGCAGUUGGCACCCCCUGAGGAGGGUCCUCCCCAGGUCCUGACCAUGCAGCCACCCUCAUCUUGGAUGUCCAGCCACCAGAGCUGUGAGAAAGUCAGUGUCCGUUGUUCACAAGCCACCCAAUCUAUGGGACUUUGUUCCAGCAGCCUGAACUGACCGGGAUGCUUGGUUAAGGCCGUUGGUCAGGUUUCUCCAUUGUAAAGUUAUUGUUUUCCUCUUGUACCUAAUAAGCAUUUUAUGAGACGACAUAGUGGAGAUGUCUUCUCUCUCACUGGCGCUUGCAUCCAGCGUGGUCCCCACCCACGCUGAACCGGGAGCACGGUGCAACCAGUGGGAUGUUGGGGAGAUGGUGAAGUUUGACUUGGAGGCUGGUUCCCAAGGAGAGCACUGUCUCCUGCCUUACUCUCUGGGAUCACAGGCUCUAGAGAAGCCGAAAGUCAUGCCUUCAAAAUAGAUGAGAACUGUAAUCUAAGAUUUUAAAAUAAAUCAGGGCGAAAAUUAAAUUAAAGGGAAACCUCACCAAAAUAGAAUGGGGAGGCCAGAAGGGGGCGCUCUCAUACACGUGCCUCUCAAGAUCAGGGCAGAGCCCAACAGGAAGAGCUGUACCUUGCAUCUCCCUCAGGGAUUGCUGUUUGAGUAUCACCAGCAGGAGGAAGAAAGGUUUUUUGACUGUCACAACUCAGCCAAUGAAAAGCCACUAUACGUCUAAGUACUAAUUUCCUAGAAGGGACUUUUUGUUUCUUACAGCCUCCCAACGUCCCCUUUUCCUCUAGCAAAGCAUUUUCUCUCCUUUCUUCUACUGCACAUGUCUGUGGUUCACCAUCGUCGCCUGUCCCAAAAGGUGAUUAUGUGGUUCUCUUGGAUAAAUCUGUUUUGCUGGUAAAAAAUAACCAGCUGUUUUAUUGUUUUAGGUUUAAAGCAGACAUAAAAAGUAACCUAAGAUAUGGAAAGCAAUAUAUGUCAGAUUUAGAAAAGCUCAGGAGGUGAAAAACUCAGGAAAGGAUUAAAAGUUGUAUGUGUCAAAGUAAUCCAAGAACAAAUUAACAAAACUGUAGGUCACAGAGGCAGCUUGCGUCCAGUGUUCCUGUGGCUGUGGCGUAGGCAGGCAGCCGUAGCUCUGAUUAUGCGUUAAGAGAAAUAAAGCAAAGAAGUAGGAAGAUAUUAAAAGAUAUUAUUGGGGCCAUAAUAAUGGGUACUCAAAGAUAUCCACCUACUAAUCCCCAGAACCUGUGUGCAUGUUUGCUUACACAGCAAAAGAGACUUUGCAGGUGUGGUUAAAUUAAGGAUCUCAAAACAGGGAGAUUAUCCUAGAUCAUCUGGGUGGGAUUAAUCUAGUCACGCAGGUCCUUAAAAGGAGACAAUUGUUUCUGGCUGUGAUGGGAAGUCAGAAGAGGCCAGGUGUGUAUGUGUUAGGAAGAAACCUAUUCCGGGAUUUCCCUUCAUGGAUCAGCUGUUAAGAACCUGAUUAGGAUCCGUGAGGUUGCGGGUUCGAUCCCUGGCCUCACUGUGGGUCAAGGGAGGAUCCAGCAUCGCAGAGAGCUGCGGUGUAGGUCACAGAUGAGGCUCAGAUUCUGUGUUGCUGUGGCUGUGGUGUAGGUCAGCAGCUGUAGCUCCGAUUCGACCCCUAGCCCGGGAACCUCCAUAUGUCACAGGUGCAGUCCUAAAAAGAAAAAAAAAAAGAAACCUGUUUGAGCUGAAAUAGAAUGAUGAUCCCAAAGAGAGUCUAGAAUAAUAAUAAUAACUCCCUAUAUACUGAUAUGCCUGGCCAUUUGGAAAUAGCAAUUAGUUUUGUUUUUUAACGUAAUUAUUUUGGAGAGCCUAAGAAGAAAUGAUAAAAGACUACUGAAUUCCGAACUCUCUGAAAAGAAAACAUUAUAUAAGGAAUAACA